This 253-nucleotide ribosomal RNA is filed under the name uncultured bacterium. Its description in RNAcentral is "partial 16S ribosomal RNA". It matches the Rfam family "Bacterial small subunit ribosomal RNA", at positions 524 to 776 of the family's 1533-position model. The record is from RNAcentral.
UACGGAGGAUGCAAGCGUUAUCCGGAAUGAUUGGGCGUAAAGCGUCCGCAGGUGGCUAUGUAAGUCUGCUGUUAAAGAGUGAGGCUCAACCUCAUAAGAGCAGUGGAAACUACAUAGCUAGAGUGCGUUCGGGGCAGAGGGAAUUCCUGGUGUAGCGGUGAAAUGCGUAGAUAUCUGGAGGAACACCGGUGGCGAAGGCGGCAUCCUGGACCAACACUGACACUGAGGAGCGAAAGCCAGGGGAGCAAACGGG